This 505-nucleotide ribosomal RNA is filed under the name uncultured beta proteobacterium. RNAcentral's name for it is "bacterial SSU rRNA". It matches the Rfam family "Bacterial small subunit ribosomal RNA", at positions 67 to 580 of the family's 1533-position model. Lineage: Bacteria; Pseudomonadati; Pseudomonadota; Betaproteobacteria. The record is from RNAcentral.
CGGGGCAGCAAUGCCCAGUGGCGCACGGGUGCGUAACGCGUAUGCAACCUGCCUCUCACAGGGGGAUAGCCCACCGAAAGGUGGAUUAAUACCGCAUAAGAUAGUAGUGGGACAUCCCACAGCUAUUAAAGAUUUAUCGGUGAGAGAUGGGCAUGCGUGCCAUUAGCUAGUUGGUAGUGUAACGGACUACCAAGGCGACGAUGGCUAGGGGUUCUGAGAGGAAGAUCCCCCACACUGGUACUGAGAUACGGACCAGACUCCUACGGGAGGCAGCAGUAGGGAAUAUUGGGCAAUGGGCGCAAGCCUGACCCAGCCAUGCCGCGUGCAGGAAGAAGGCCUUCUGGGUUGUAAACUGCUUUUGACAGGGAAGAAAAGCAAGUACGUGUACUUGAAUCGACGGUACCUGUAGAAUAAGCACCGGCUAACUCCGUGCCAGCAGCCGCGGUAAUACGGAGGGUGCAAGCGUUGUCCGGAUUUAUUGGGUUUAAAGGGUGCGUAGGCGGCC